GACGAACGCUGGCGGCGUGCUUACACAUGCAAGUCGAACGGAAAGGCCCUGCUUUUGUGGGGUGCUCGAGUGGCGAACGGGUGAGUAACACGUGAGUAACCUGCCCUUGACUUUGGGAUAACUUCAGGAAACUGGGGCUAAUACCGGAUAGGAGCUCCUGCUGCAUGGUGGGGGUUGGAAAGUUUCGGCGGUUGGGGAUGGACUCGCGGCUUAUCAGCUUGUUGGUGGGGUAGUGGCUUACCAAGGCUUUGACGGGUAGCCGGCCUGAGAGGGUGACCGGCCACAUUGGGACUGAGAUACGGCCCAGACUCCUACGGGAGGCAGCAGUGGGGAAUAUUGCACAAUGGGCGGAAGCCUGAUGCAGCAACGCCGCGUGCGGGAUGACGGCCUUCGGGUUGUAAACCGCUUUCGCCUGUGACGAAGCGUGAGUGACGGUAAUGGGUAAAGAAGCACCGGCUAACUACGUGCCAGCAGCCGCGGUGAUACGUAGGGUGCGAGCGUUGUCCGGAUUUAUUGGGCGUAAAGGGCUCGUAGGUGGUUGAUCGCGUCGGAAGUGUAAUCUUGGGGCUUAACCCUGAGCGUGCUUUCGAUACGGGUUGACUUGAGGAAGGUAGGGGAGAAUGGAAUUCCUGGUGAAGCGGGGGAAUGCGCAAAUAUCAGGAGGAACACCAGUGGCGAAGGCGGUUCUCUGGGCCUUUCCUGACGCUGAGGAGCGAAAGCGUGGGGAGCGAACAGGCUUAGAUACCCUGGGAGUCCACGCUGUAAACGGUGGGUACUAGGUGUGGGGUCCAUUCCACGGGUUCCGUGCCGUAGCUAACGCUUUAAGUACCCCGCCUGGGGAGUACGGCCGCAAGGCUAAAACUCAAAGGAAUUGACGGGGCCCCGCACAAGCGGCGGAGCAUGCGGAUUAAUUCGAUGCAACGCGUAGAACCUUACCUGGGUUUGACAUGGAUCGGGAGUGCUCAGAGAUGGGUGUGCCUCUUUUGGGGUCGGUUCACAGGUGGUGCAUGGCUGUCGUCAGCUCGUGUCGUGAGAUGUUGGGUUAAGUCCCGCAACGAGCGCAACCCUUGUUCACUGUUGCCAGCACGUUAUGGUGGGGACUCAGUGGAGACCGCCGGGGUCAACUCGGAGGAAGGUGGGGAUGACGUCAAGUCAUCAUGCCCCUUAUGUCCAGGGCUUCACGCAUGCUACAAUGGCUGGUACAGAGAGUGGCGAGCCUGUGAGGGUGAGCGAAUCUCGGAAAGCCGGUCUCAGUUCGGAUUGGGGUCUGCAACUCGACCUCAUGAAGUCGGAGUCGUUAGUAAUCGCAGAUCAGCAACGCUGCGGUGAAUACGUUCCCGGGGCU
RNAcentral lists this ribosomal RNA (1345 nucleotides) under uncultured bacterium. RNAcentral's name for it is "partial 16S ribosomal RNA". It matches the Rfam family "Bacterial small subunit ribosomal RNA", at positions 28 to 1381 of the family's 1533-position model. The record is from RNAcentral.